AACAUGAUCAGCAUGCACCGCAAAGACGCGCACCCUAGGUGUGUGUGACUGCUUAAAUGUAGUCUCAUUCGUGCCCACUGUACCCCUGGGUUAAAAUGUUGAAUUGAAUAACCUUUUCGCUGCACUCCCAUUGAAAGCGCAUGGAGGAAGAAAAAAAUAAGGAAAAACAUAGAUCCGUCACACUUUAAACAGUUUAGUGAUGAGGGCAAAGAUGAAGGAAAAGGUGUAAGACCCCAUUUGUUCUUAUCUAAAACAUGUCAUAUCACAUCAGGCGGUUAGUUAUUCAGCCACGCAAGGCGUGCUCGCAGCUGUGAUCUGCGGUCGCGACCCGUCCUCUGAUUGAUACGAUUCCGUAUCGGACAUGUGGCUGACAUUGAGUUUGGCUGGUGAUGCGAGGCACAAUGAAGUUAAAACCCGGGGAUGGGGAGCCCAAAGCGAUCCGACCCACAACGCCGUCUUCCUUGAAGCACCAGAGACAUUUGCCUAUGACAUCCCCCAGUCUUUAUCGACCAGUGAGGCAUGGGCUCAGCAAGGGACUUGGCCGCGUUUGCUUCGGCUAGAGAUUGUGUCUGGAUGAGAACCUACCUCUUCGUCAAUCUUGAUUGAUGGUGGCAUAUACUUCCUCCAGAGGUUUGGAAAGCCCUUGUCUACAUCUUGUACAGCACACGUCUGUUUAUGUAGAGACAACCUCUCCCUUUGCAUCCUAAUCCCACAUCCGUUUUCAAAUUGUAACUUGGCUAUGAAACAGUGAAUGACUAUGUAGAUAGGCCAAGAGCCAUCUAGAGAGAGAGUUGCGCCAACAUAAGAUGUUUUUCAGCUAGUUCGAAUAAGGGCUUGGCGGGCUAUUUGAAUAUGACUUUAAUGCGUAAAUAUAGUAAUAGAAUUGGGAUUUCUAGAAAUUACGAGUCAAAGUAAAGUAUAUUUUCUAAUAUUUGAAGACUAAUGUGCAAGCGUUACCUACCUUGUUUGAAAGUUGUAUGUUACAUUGGUUAAAGAGCUUGUGUCUGUGUAUUGCUUUGUAUGGAUGAAUAAAAUAAAUGGAAUAAACUCAGAAACAUGAAUAGCCUGCCAAGCAGUCUGUCUGUGCCCUUUUCACCGUGUGGUCCUUUUCCUAUUGUCUGCUGGGCUGCAUGGGGAUGCUCCAAUCUCUCUGAGUACGGAGCACAAAGGUUCCCCACUGACAUGGAGAGGAGGUGAAAAAAUUGUUGGCUUAAAUAACCAGCAACAAUCUAACUAUAAUCUAAGAUUACAAAAACAA
Long non-coding RNA from Gadus macrocephalus (Pacific cod), 1258 nucleotides. RefSeq lists it as uncharacterized. The record is from RefSeq and is a predicted model, not a curated record. Lineage: Eukaryota; Metazoa; Chordata; Actinopteri; Gadiformes; Gadidae. The transcript is spliced from 3 exons.